AUCUGUGCUGCCAACACUGAAUUUUGGCUUGGCUCAGGAUUUGGAAAUGCCACAGCCUGACUUCUUCCUGAAUGGUCUUGAUCAUAUGAUUUGCCUGUAACUGGUCACCCAAUUGGCAUCCUUGGAAUCUUUUAGUCUCUAUGCUCAAUGGAAGGGACAGGAUUGGUGUUACGUAGAUAUCAUGUAAUCACUUGAACCACUGCACCUAACUCAAAUGUUAUCACUAGACGGUGAACAACUCUUC
Pelobates cultripes (western spadefoot toad) is the source of this 244-nucleotide non-coding RNA. The record is from the annotation of a GenBank genome assembly. Lineage: Eukaryota; Metazoa; Chordata; Amphibia; Anura; Pelobatidae.